CCUGCCUGCCCAGUGACUAUAAGUUAAACGGCCGCGGUAUUUUGACCGUGCAAAGGUAGCGCAAUCACUUGUCUUUUAAAUGAAGACCUGUAUGAAUGGUGGAACGAGGGCUUAACUGUCUCCCUCCCCUAGUCAAUGAAAUUGAUCUAUCCGUGCAGAAGCGGGUAUAAAAAUACAAGACGAGAAGACCCUUUGGAGCUUAAGACAAAAGACCAACUAUGUUAAAAAUCCUAAAAAAGAUACUAAACCAAAUAAUACUGGUCCCAGUCUUCGGUUGGGGUGACCACGGGAGAAAAUAAAGCUCCCAUGUGGACAGGGGUAACCCCCUAAAACUAAGAGAUACAUCUCUAAGGCACAGAACAUCUGACCAUAAAGAUCCGGCUAUAUGCCGACCAACGGACCAAGUUACCCUAGGGAUAACAGCGCAAUCCCCUUCCAGAGUCCAUAUCGACAAGGGGGUUUACGACCUCGAUGUUGGAUCAGGACAUCCUAAUGGUGCAGCCG
Molecule: ribosomal RNA, 504 nt
Filed under: Pseudotocinclus juquiae
Lineage: Eukaryota; Metazoa; Chordata; Actinopteri; Siluriformes; Loricariidae
Description: partial 16S ribosomal RNA
Rfam family: Bacterial large subunit ribosomal RNA
Source: RNAcentral